UUUAUCUGAAGUCAUCUUCUAACUGGACAUCCUGCAUUUUAUCUGGCAAGACCAGCCCCUCUAGGAAUGCUUCCUCUCCUGUGGCCCCGCUUCUACCCCCACCACAGCCUAGGAAAAGGGGAACUCACUGAAGACUUUCACUUCUGCUUCUUCAAUAGCCCGGGGCCCAGUGGGAGAGCCCCCAUCUUCACGCCAGCCAGGCCCCAUGGCUGACACCUGUCCUCCCAGCCCUCCCCAAAAGGUGACUUGGGAAGGACCAACUCAGCAAGCCCAAGCUCAGACUCCCCAGGAAGACUGAGAGCACCAGUGGGCAAGGCAGGGUAGAGCAUGGAGAGGACACAGAACUUGAGUCUCAGGACUAGGAGCUCAUUUCACGCAUCAGUCCCCAGGCACAGCUUCCGCCCUUGGCUCCCCCUUCUGCCCCGACCCAGAGCCAGUCCUGGCAUCAGGGAAAUGAACUGGCUCCAAGAUGCUGCUAUUGCUGCUGCCCAUGCUGUUCAGAGGGUCCCUGACAUGUGGAUGGAGAUUCCAGCUGGAAGUGCAGAGUUCAGUGAUGGUUCAGGAGGGUCUGUGCAUCCUUGUGCCCUGCAAUGUUAGCUACCCCGAGGUUGGCUGGACUGACUCUGACCCAGCUCAUGGCUAUUGGUUCCAGAAAGGGACUGACACUAAUGUUGGGGCUCCAGUGACCUCAAACAACCCUGAUCAAGAGGUCCGCAGGGACACCCAGGGCCGAUUCCAGCUCCUCGGGGACUCCCAGAAAGGGAGCUGCUCCCUGGUGAUCCGAGAUGCACAGAGGGAGGACACAGCCACAUACUUCUUUCGGGUGCAGAGAGGAAGUUAUGUGAAAUUUAAUGUCACAGAAUACACACUGUCCCUGGAAGUGGCAGGUACGGACGGAGCUGACUUGAGCUGGAGUGGGCUGCAUAGAGACUGUGGGGAAUAGCUACUGCCUGGGUUAGGAUCUCCCUCUCUCCACCCCAGGCCUGACACAGAAGCCUAAUGUCUAUGUCCCUGAGAACCUGGAGCCAGGGUGCCCAGCAACACUGUUCUGUGUGUUUCCCGGGGACUUUGAGGGCUGUAUGGCCUCCAGGUUCUCCUGGAUGGGGGCGGCUGUCACCCCCCAAGGAGAUGGACCACAAGCUUUCCUCUUCUCGGCUCUCACUCUCAUACUGAGACCUCAGGAUCACGACAGUGAGCUUACCUGUCGAGUGGACUUUUCCAGAAAUGCUGUGAACACCUCAAGAACCAUCCGAUUGAGUGUGGGUCAUGGGUUUGGGGGCAAGACUCUGGGAUAUGGGGACAGGUCAGGCAUACAGGGAGGUGAGAAAUGGCCAUGGCAACCGUCAGGCUGGAGCUUGGGAGGGUUCCUAGGAGAAAAGGCAGGUCCUAUGAAGACUGAACAUCUAUGGCUCCCAGAGCCUUCUGUUCACUGGCUGGACUUUAAGGUGUGGGUGAGGUGAGGCCUGAGCGUAGGUGGUCCCCAUGCAGUGACACAGGAGAGACCUGGAGAACAAACGUCCAUCCUAUUGAGAGCUGAAGGACACAGGAGUGUGGUGUGGGAGGUGACUCAGUCCUACUCCUCUUCCCCACAGGGACACCAGGGCCCAUGGCAGAUGUGGUUCUGGUGGCCAUCAUGGUAGUUGUGCUCAAGGCACUGAUCCUCUGCCUCUACCUCACCUUAACCAUGUGAGCACCACCCAAGGAGGAAAGGAGAUACAGAGAGGGCAGAGGGCAGGUUGCUGAAUCCCAGAGCCCCAGUUCAGGAGGGACAUCAAUGGGCCAAGGGGCGCAAGACCAAGUGGGAGGAUGAAUUGGUGGUGACAGUUACACAGGAGCCCAUCAAGUCAAGCCUGGGGCCUGUCCCUACUAGGCCCAAUUGUCCAGGAUGAAUGAGAGUCCCUGUUCUCAUCAGAAGUUCUCUAGGGAAGUCCUGCCCUGUCCCACCUAAGUCACCCUCCAGGCCCUUAAGAAGGAACAGAGGGUCCGUCUACCCCCUGCCCCCAAUCUGGCCAGACUGAGAGGCUCUUUGCUGUCUUCACUCAGAGUGAGAUGCAGCAGGAAGAGAAUGGCUGGGCCACCGGUGGGCUUGGAGGACACAGGAGCCAAGGAUGCAAAUAUGUACAUGGGUUAGUUUCUCAGGUGAGUGACAUGAGUGCCUCACCUCCCAUCAUCCCACUUGGAUACCUUCUCCAGAAAGGCCCCCAUGACUGCUCCACCCAGCAUGGCCAACUUUGAGCUGCCCAUCUUUCUCCACAACCCACUGUUUCUGUUGGAUCCUGUUUCACUAAUGAUUCAGCCAACUCCAAUCUGUCAAGCUGAAACCAGGGUAUCAUUCUCCACUCUGUCCUCUCUUCCAUCUCCAAGAUCUAAUAAUUCAGUAACCUUGUCCUUACCUCCUCUUCAGUUCAUGUUGAUACCCUUCUUUUCUCUAUCCUGACCCUGGUCAUUCCUGCGGCCUCAGCUCUUCCCUCCAUCACUGGUCCCACUUCAUCUCCUUGCCUCCCAUCUCUCUUCCAACACAGGCCUCCAGACUGUGCUUCCAGAUACAAUUAUCAUCCAAAUCCUCCAUAGUUUGAAUAACGAUGUGUCCUCUUCAUGAUCAAAGACUGAGAUGUAAAUCCCCAGCUUGGACUUCAGGGCCUCACAUGACCUGACCCUGCUGGACCCUCCAGCCAGAUUCCUCCCACCCCCAACAUCACACAAGGUCCACCACACCCAAUCCAGCCAAAUCCUCUUGUGACACCGAGACUUUGCAUAUGAAGUUCCUUCUCCUGAAAUGCCCUUCCAUCCCCAUUCUGCUUUCCCUGGUCUUUCUCACCUUUUAAUCUGAGUAUUAAAUGUCAACCAGUUGUGUGUGUGUGUGUGUGUAAAACACUCACUGUAUGAAUUUUAGAAGAAAAGUGUCAUUUGUUCUUUUAUUCAUAGACACCUUCACCAAGUAUUACUGAACAUCUACUAUAUGCUGAACACUGUUGUAAGUCCUAGGGGUGCCUUGGAGAACAUGACCUCAAAAAUCUCAGUUCUCAAAGACCAGUCAUUCUGGAGACGAGAAGAAUAGAAGUAAGAAACCAAUAAUAAAAAUUAGAGUGUGGUGAUUGGUGGUAUAUGCUUAGAGAAAAAUAAUGAUGGGAAAGAAGUAAGACAUAUCGGGGUAGAUUUCCACAUUCAAUAGCAAGAGGCAGUGACAUCUGAGCAAGGACUUAAGGCCAGAGAGGAAGCCUGUUCUGUGUUCAUCUAAGAGCAGGAACAGAGAAAAGAGGGAACCAUGAGUGCAAUGGCCCAGAAGCAGAGAAAGGCUCAGUGUGCUAUGGAAACAACAAGGAGGUCAGAGUUUGAAACAGAGGGAAGUAGAAGAAGAAGGAGAGCCUGGGAGCAUGGUGCAGAACGUAAGAGGCCUUGUAGGCCACUAGAAGAAUCCGUACACUUUUGAAGGAAGCGGAGACAGGACUGCACUUUCAUUUUAGCAGAAUCCUCAUAGUUGCUCUGUAAGAAAAGGCAACAUCUCUGACCUCACGGUUCCUCCAGUACUGGUUCUCUCCAACUCUUUUGUUUCCUCACCCCCUAGAGUCAAAAUGUUAUCCAUUGUUCUGAUCUCCCUCUCCUAUUAUUUUUUCCAUUCUUUUCAAUACCAAGCCUUGGGAAAAAUCAAUAAAUGCUCAAGGCCUGUUGAAUGAUAGAUAGAAGAAUAUGGAAGUUAGUUGGGUAAUUAGCUUUGGCACACAGGGAGAAAUCUAAAGUUUUCAGUUGUGUGAGGAUAUGUUCUCAGAUUUCUAAAAAAAUAUUCUGUAGCCUUGGAGGAUUGAAAGAUGAGUGACAGUGUAGAGAGACAAUGGGUCCAGAGUUUUAAUUGUGUUUCUAUCGAGAGAAUGCUUGAAGGGGUUGGAGUAAGGUGGAGAAUUUGAGAAGAGUCACUCUGUGGGUGCUGCUGACUGCUGAGUUGGGUUACCUCAGGAAGAAGAAGGGAGGGUCAGGCAGGAGGACUGCAUGGUGAGAGCAGCACAAGACUGGGUCAGGAAUGCUGAGACCAAGGUGGAUUCUCCAUCCACCCAACUGACUAGAGCAGGUGGGGCUUGUGGGAAAUGCAGGGAGAGGCUGUCCUGCCCACAAGCCCCACACAGGCACAGGAGACACCAAAAACAUCACACCCAGAUUUGGAACUGGAAUCCCAGCCUCUGUUCCAAUUUUAAUGGCUCAGGUAAGAGUUUCCAAUGCCUUUGUUUUUUUACCGUGUACCAGGACUGAGCUAGGGCUGGGGUCAGAGAGGUUUCAGUUUCCGGGCGGCCCCAGUUCCCUAAUUCCUCCUGCCCUGUGUGAGAGGCCCCAAGGAAACUCAUGUACCAAGAGAAAGUUCCUAACUCUAAGUUUCUUAGAAGGGAAGUUUUAUGGGGCUGGUGAAUAGAGGAGGAAAGGGUCACCCUGCUGUGGGUGUAACACUUGGUAGUAGGUGGGAUUUCCUGGUGAAGGGACAAGUUUGGGGCAGAAAACUACUCAGGCCCAAAUUAGGCCUCAGUGGAUGGUGAUGGUGGCGAAAGGGCCAGGACAGAGGAGGUUCCAUUUAUAAAAAGAAGACAUUGUUUCUGAAUGUGAUAGGAAUAGAUUUACCAGGAAAAGAUCCCCAGUUAAAGGCAACCCCUAUUUUCAUCUAGGGGGUGAGGAAGAAAGGAAGCCAACAGAGGCCUUGGGAUAAGAGGAGAGGGGCUACCUCAGGGGCUAGUACAGAAGUCACCCAAGAUCACACCUGGGAUCUCCCCUCCUCCAGGACUGGGCCUUGCCUCCCUCUUCCCCAGUUCUGACCUAGACACUGACAUCCACAUCUUGUAGACUCCGGAGUCUGGCUCCCAGGGAAACUGACCUGCACCAUGCUCAGGGCCUGAGUGGGAAAGACCCUCACCGUUUCCUGGAAAUGGACCAUCCCUUUCUCCCUUGGCCCUGGACACAUCGCUUCUUGAUAUUUAGCCCUUAUCUGCAGCUCCAGCACCACAACACCAACUUCACCGAUCCUAGAGCUCCUGUGACCACAAGAGAAACAGUGCUGGGUCAUGAAACCUGGACUCCUGAGACAUAGGCCAUUGAGGGAGAAGUAAUUUGUGCUUGGGACCUGGAGACCUGGCUGGGAAAGUCUUAGCCCUACUUCUCUGACUCAGAGGGAGGUACUCCCUGAGCACUCCUGAAGAUGGAAAUAUUGACUUCCUGUCCCAGAGAUACCUUGGGAGAAAGCCCCAGCGACCUACUUCUGAAAGAUCACAGCUACUGAAAACCCUAGAGAGUGCAGUUCUACUCUGAAACACAUGGCAUCACCAUGAGUCAGAAAUGACUUGAAGAAAAAUGGUAAUUCAAUAUGGGUAGUGUCAUAUAAAAGAGAAGAAGCACAGAGUGAAGAGCACUGUUAUGAAUUGAAUUGUAUCCUCCAAAAAUGUGUAUCAACUUGGCCAGGCAAUGAUUUCCAGUAUUGUGUGGUUGUCCACCAUUUUGUGAUCUGAUGUGAUUAUCCUAUCUGUUGUAAACCCUAACCUCUAUAAUGUUAAUGAGGCAGGUUUAGAAGUAGCUAUGUCAAUGAAGUAGGACUCAAUGUACAAGAUUUGGUUGAAUCUUCAGUCAAUCUCUUUUGAGAUAUAAAAGAAAGAAGUGAGCAGAGAGGAGAGGAACCUCAUACCACCAAGAAAGAAGAGCCAGGAGAACAGCAUGUCCUUUAGACCCAAGGUCCCUGGGCUGAGAAAAUCCUAUACCCAAGGGAAGAUUGAUGAUAAGGACCUUCCUCCAGAUUUGGCAGGUACAGAAAGGCUUCCCCUAGAGCUGGAACCCUGAAUUUGGACUUCUAGUGUCCUAAACUCUGAGGGAAUAAACUUCUGUUUGUUAAUGCCAUCCACUUGUGGUAUUUCUGUUAUAGCAGCACUAGAUAAUUAAGACAAAUACCAUGUGAUCUAGCAGCUGCAAGCCAAGGAGUGAGCGUCUGAAGCUAACAGAAGCUAGAAGAGACAAAAAAGGACCUUCCUCUAGAGCCUUUGGAGAGAACAUGGUUCUGGGACACCCUGAAUUUGUACUUCUAACCUCGAGAACUGUGAGAGAGUAAAUACCUGUUCUUACAGACCACUCAAUUUGUGAUACUUGGUUAUGGCAGCCCUAGGAAAUGAAUACACCAGAGAAUCACCCUUCUCUGAUUUCCUCCCUCCCAGGCGGCCCAGUCCCUCUAGUCAUCUGCUCUCCUGGCCUGAGGCCCAGAUCUAGUUUCUGUCUACUCAGGCCCCUCUGCACAGCUGAGUUGUUCCUAAACCCAAAACCCAAUCCACAUGCAGCACCAUGGACAGCGCUAUCCCUGGUAUCUGGGAUUGACCAAGGGCCAAAAUGUGCCUAGGUCUGAUAGCCUGCCCCCUGCGGGCUGAUACUAAUGAGAGAAUUGGAAGACACUUGGGGACAGAAUAUGGAAACACCUUCUAGUGUGAGCCUGCUCUUCUCAGUCUCCCCUUGUUACCCCAGGAGACAGGGCCUAUAUUCCAUCAGAGAGGGCCUCUUCACGCAAACUUGGUUUUUUGACUCUCAGGGCCUGCUCUGCCUCCAGUUGCUGCAGGAAACCCUAAUGUCUGGAAAACACUCUAUUUCCCCCUCCUCCACCUCCUACAGGUACAAGGUCCCACUUCCCCAAUAUGUUGAUCUCUCUGUUUCCUUUCUGUCUCUCUUCUCAAAGCCUUCAGAAGUAACACAGCUGACACCCUGAUAUGAACUUCUGGCCUCCAGAACUGUGAGACAAUCCACUUCUAAUCUUUAAAGUCACUGAAUUUGUGGCUUUCUGUUAUGACAUCCCUGGGAAAAUAGGGCAACCAUUGUUGAAGAAAGAAGCUGGGACAUAAACCAUAAAUUUAAAUCCAGAAAGGGUCUCCAGUUCUCUCACCACCUUACAGUCACCACCACUUUCAGGGUGGGGCAGGCUAAUCAGAUGGUGCCAGGAGAAUCUAGAUCAUCCCUUCAGCCCAGAGAUG
Molecule: long non-coding RNA, 6974 nt
Organism: Loxodonta africana (African savanna elephant)
Lineage: Eukaryota; Metazoa; Chordata; Mammalia; Proboscidea; Elephantidae
Exons: 3
Source: RefSeq, a predicted model, not a curated record